CGCACACUAAACAGAGCGAGAGAGCUUUUCCCUGCAGCCCUGCUGAAGCCCCUGGUUUUUCACCCGUUGUUGGUGGGUGUAUUUCAAUUUUUUAUUCCCUGGACGAUGGGUUAUGAUAUCAAUGUUCACUGAAGACAAAAGCAGCUUUUUCUGCCUCUCGGUGGUAUGCUAUUGCUCCUCAUCCUCUCCAACUUGUGAGGAACAGGGUUCUCGCUUCUCUGUGUGUGUUUUGAGCCAGCACAGUUACCAAAAUUGAACUUGCUGUCACUUGUGAGCCGUGUGGUCAAGGUGUGAGGGAAGGUCACGUGGAGGCUGCUGCCAAGGUCAAGGUGCAGGUGCGGCACAUGCUCGGCCGGAUCUGGCCCCACCCUCGCUGAUGUUUGAGGAAUCCUCCAGUGUGACAUGGACCAGGACCUAUGUUCUAGGCCAGUUCGAAUAGAGUAGGAAAGAAGAUGCACUUGAAGGAGAAUUGGUGAGCUCCAUCCAGAGGCAUCAUCAGACCCCGUGGAGGAAGGCAGAGCACUGUCCCCGGAGCACCCAGCGGGCACCUCCGGAGAGCUCAGAGUGACCACAUCUGGCAGAAGAAGGAAAAAAUGUAGUUAUUGAAUCCAAUCCAGUGUUUGUGUCUCUCACAUUAUCAACAAAAGUGGUCAAGAAAGGUUCCAGUUGGCCCCAUGAACACAUGGAUAUAGAAGGAGCCACAUGAAGAUGGAGAAAUCGAGGCACAGAGAAAUCAAGUGACUUCGCCACAGUCACAAGCUGGGGAGGACCAGAAAUAGAACCUGAGAGAGCCCGGCUCUGGGCCUGCGUCCUGCCCACAGAGUCACGCUGCCUCCAUCCUCCGGGGAGAAGGCUCCUUGCAAG
This 864-nucleotide long non-coding RNA is filed under the name Heterocephalus glaber (naked mole-rat). RNAcentral's name for it is "lncRNA (ENSHGLG00100042950.1)". Lineage: Eukaryota; Metazoa; Chordata; Mammalia; Rodentia; Bathyergidae. The record is from RNAcentral.